Molecule: long non-coding RNA, 2227 nt
Organism: Microplitis mediator
Lineage: Eukaryota; Metazoa; Arthropoda; Insecta; Hymenoptera; Braconidae
Exons: 5
Source: RefSeq, a predicted model, not a curated record
GUCAACAAGUAAUAAAACUAUAAUGUUUGUUUUCAUUUCUAAAUAAAGUUUACUACAUUUCAUGGACGUUACAGGUGACAUAAGUUUCCAUCGCGACCAAAACAAUGAUAUAUUGAGUGAGAGUGAAAGUGAUUGUCAAUCUGUAGUUGAAGAGACUGAACAAACAGACGAUGACACCGAGUUAGCUAAAAACCAAAGGGACUUCCAUAAUAAAAUAAAAAUUCACCUCUUCUAAGUGGAAUUUUUUUCACAGUUGAUAUGGGUCAAUCAACUGACAUAAAACUGAUUGCCGAAUGUAACUUUUGUCACCCGAAGAAAAUAAUUAGAGAGUCUAUACGGACAACUUCAAACUAUAUUUUUCAUUCAAAGAGAAAACAUUCUGAAGAUUGUACGAGGUAUUUGGAGCACAAAAAGCAAUUUGAUAAAUCGAAAACUAAAGCUUCAAUCGAUAGAAGCCGCUUGUCAUGUUCAUUCGACCAAGAACCAUUUGAGAAAAACAUAACGAUGUAUAUUUUAAAAUCACUAUUACCAUUUAAUUCAGUCUUGAAGAUCCACAUUUCCGAAAAAUCUUUGAUGGCACAUAAAGUUUACAUAAUUGUCUGCAGACUAUUAUUUUUUGUUUUGUCACUCAUAAUUCUUAUUCUCGAUUAAAUCAAAACCUAAUUUGAAAGAUCUCCAAAUCAAGAAGCAAGGUAACACCAUCUAUUACAUGACUCGACAUCUAUUAGAGAAACGAGUUCAUGAAAUUUAUGAUCAAACAAUCAACAACAUUUGCAAGGAUUUACUUUCCGUAAUUCAAAAUAAUGGCUAUGUUUGUACCACGGUGGAUGUUUGGACAGGAGGUUCACGUUUUUUGGGUGUUACAGCUCAUUAGCUCGAUUCAGACACUGUAGAACGAAAAUCCGCUGCGUUGGCUUGCCUGCGACAUUGUUUGGGUACACACUCGGUCAAUGCGAUUGCAUCUCUUCUAUGCAUUAUUCACUCCUCAUUUAGAUUAAGGCCUGAUACAAUACAAGCAACCGUGACAGACAACGGAAGUCAUUUUGUAAAAGCGUUUAAAGAAUUAGGAAUUUAGGGUUCAUUCACUUUUCAAGAUUCAGAUUAACCUUCUGAUGAUUGGAGUGACACUGAGACUGAAGUUGCAGAAGCGAGUGAGGAAUUUAGUGAAGCAUGUGAUAAACAUCUACCGACCCAUUACCGGUGUGCGAGUCAUACUUUAAAUUUGAUAGCAUCAACGGACAUUAUUAAGGCUAUUAAUGCUGACUCAGAGCUGAAAAGAAAACAUAAAUGUGUUUUGAAAAAAUGUAAGACUUUGUGGAAGUAACUACGUUCUGCCAAAAAAAGAGAAAGUCUGAAAUCUAUAUUGGGUGUUUUGAUUCAAAAGCCUGUCAUAACUCGCUGGAAUUCGACUUAUGAUUGCUUCGAACAAUUGAUUAAAAUCAAAGAAAAACUGAUGAGUGAUGAUUUAAAAACACUUAUGCGACCGUUUCGUUCUUCUGAUUUUAAUUAUUUACAAGAAUCCGUUGAAUGUUCAACUCCACUUGCAGAAGCUACCGAUAGCUUAGAAGCAGGAAAAUGUUAUCACAAUAUUCUUCUACCAAAAUCACUUUCAGUAAAGAACUGAAUUAAUAUUCCUUUAACUCGUGGAGAUAUAGCCUACUGCAAACCAAUUUUAGAUAUAAUAAUAAGUAGUAUCGAAAAACGUUUCGCCACAUUAUUUGAUGUUCAUGAAUAUAAUAUUGAUGCGAUAAUUGCUGCAGUUUCACAUUCAGCUUUUAAAGGCCGCUGGCUUUCAUCUUUUUCGAAAGAAGAUCGAAAAAUUAUACAUAACUGAUUUGUGGAAGCUGUUUCUAAAGAAGCGUUAACUGAGUCGUCAAGGUCUACUGUUAAAAAAAAGGAGACUUUGAAUUUGGAUCUCUAGAUGACACCAUUGAUAAGUUUCAUCCUUCAAUGUCACAGGGAGAAAUAACAGCAGAAGUGAUGAGAUAUUUGAAAAGCUCGGACUGUAAGCUUACAGUCUUAGAACGAUUUCCAGAAAUUAAAAAAACUUUCUUAAGAUACAACACACCUUUACCAUCUUCAGCCUGUGAUGAAAGGCUCUUCAGUAAUGUGAUAAUGCUUAAUUUACCCGAGUAUAAUAAAUUAAGCGAUCAACAUUUUGAACAGAGAAUACUUGCUAAAGCAAACUUAACAAAAAUAAUUAAUUAAAUCUUAAUUGAAGCGUUUA